Molecule: long non-coding RNA, 1725 nt
Organism: Poecilia latipinna (sailfin molly)
Lineage: Eukaryota; Metazoa; Chordata; Actinopteri; Cyprinodontiformes; Poeciliidae
Exons: 2
Source: RefSeq, a predicted model, not a curated record
AUCAACCUAACAACUGGCUUUUCAGGAGCCAUCCCAUAAAAAUAAACAAACAACAGAAAAAAACAAUUUUGUGUGCGCAGUACUACUGAGACUACAACUCAGAUUUUAUAUAACAGAGGAUAUUCAUCAAGCAUACUGUUGGGCACAGUGGAGGAUCUGUGAUGCUGUGGAUCUGUUUCUCUUCCAAAACACUCGGCUCCUUCACAUAGAAACCCUGAGAGUCACAUAAUCUAUGUAAAGGUUAAGAUCAUUUCAUUUAGAAUAAACUCAAGUUAAAUUCUGGAUUAUUCUAAUGUUUUCAGAACAUGAACUCCUGCGCUGUAGUUUACCACAGCAAAGAAGUCCUUCACUGUACCUUUCUACAGCAAAGGAUGACUUUAUUUUCCUCUGUCGUUUGUUUUUUUUCCUUCUUCUUUCACCUUUAAUUUUACAGCUCAGUAUAUUCUAACACAUCUCAGUGUUUUCAUAGCGGUGAGAGAUUCAAAGGUGCAACCGUGUCUGUCACCUUUAUGGUUGACUUUGGGGAAAUGCGAAUUUCACUCCAGUACAUGUUGAUUUGCUGAUGUGUGUUGUCUAGUUUUACUGAAUCUCUUCUCUUCCAGAGAACGUAAUGGAAGAAAGGACCUUAAGUCACCUCAAGACCAACCUCAGUGCUGCAGGUCUAAUGCUUGCCAUGAAACGCAAACUAAUCAUGUAUAAAUAACAUCAGACAUGAAAUAUAUUAGCAAUAUGUAAUGUCACCUGGCCUGCUUGGUGCUACACAGUGUACAGUUUCUGUCUGAGGGAGAGACAGGCAGAGAUUUACAUCGAAGAAGGUUACGACACAGACGCUCCGCUGUGGAUCUUCUUUUUACAUCCUGGAAUGUGGCGGGCCAGACUCAUCCAGUUCAACAACAGGCAAACAUGAAGUCAUUUUAUGGAUAUCAGCGGAGCAACUGCAGCUGCCACACACAGUCCUCUGCACAGCUGGAAUCAGUCACCCACCAAGUGACAUCUUUAGAGAAGGCAGGAAAGAGAAAAGAGAGAUUUGUUCCAAGUGUGGGGUGGCAAGAGGUAGGAGUGAGAGGAGUGACUGAUCAAUAGAAAGAAGUUAGAGAGAAACAGAGACCUAAAGGCAAAAAAAAAAUGAAAAAAGAGAGAGAAACAGAGGGGAGAAGAGACAACAGGACGACGAGAGCAGAAAGGGAAGCAGCGAGGCGGCAGCUGGAACGGGCAGACGCAUGAGGAGAAUCCCAAUAACCUGCUGUUCUUUCCUUGAGAGCGAGGAUAAUGCACUGUGUGCCGAGUGUUCAAGUGAGAGCGGACAAAGCGAGCCGUAUUUGAUUGGAGGGCCGUGUUUGUGUGUGGCUUUCUGACUGUGUGAUUGUUUCCAGCAAAUGUGUCAGAAGAUGGCACAUAUGUGGAGGGUUGUUUUCCAGCCAGUGUUUGUCCCUCUGCAGGCAUGCAUGUGCUCAUUAGGUAAGGACUGUGUGACAGUAUACGUGUGCAGUGCUGCACUUCACCAAAAGAAGUCAGCCUUGUGCUGUAAAACUAUCGCCACGUGUUAUUGGACAGCCAGGCAGAGAUGGACAACGACACAGCAAACAGGCUGACCGUCUGGAUUUCAUGGUGUAGAUUCAACUCUAACGUCUAAGUGAAAUUGCUCAAUUUAUCUUCUCGGUUUUCAGUUAAUUAAGACAGAUUAUUAGCAUCUGAACAUGGAUGUGUUUAGGUAUAAUACGUAAU